AUGCGCUCCGUCUGGCGGCAGCGCCCGCGCGCAAGCGGCGUCGCCUCCCCCCGUUCUUCGGCGCCCCUGCAGCAACUGAGACACUUAGUACUAGUAGGACAGUUUAAUCUGGAUUCUGAAGCAAUGAGUACCUGUGAAAAGGCCGGAGCGGAAGCUACAUCUGUUGUGAGUUCAGACAGAGUAAGCAGUCUACCUCCAGAGAUAAAGGGUGAUAUCCUUUCUCGUUUGCUUGUCGAAGAAGCGGUUAGGACUAGCAUCUUAUCAAGUACUUGGAGGAAUGCAUGGACUGAUAUGCCAAGAGUAUUUCUGCAAGAUGGAAAGCUUGCACAAACCAAGUUUGUUACGUUGGUCGAUAUGGUGCUAGCACUCCACAAGGGAACCAUAGAAGAGUUUAAUAUAUCAGGUAACAAAAGUUACCAUUAUGAGUUUGCUAGGUGGAUGCUCAUGCUGUCAAGGAGAUCACCAAGAUCAAUUAUAAUCAAGUUGAACUCAUUGCCGGAGUAUAGGAUUCCCUCAUGCCUAUUUUCUAUCGGCAAUUUGAAGAUUCUGCACAUGGAAAACUGCACCAUCUUGUUGCCCCGGGUAUUCCAAGGUUUCAAGAGACUAACUCACCUCAGCCUGAAACUUUUCUCCUCCACGGACAUGGACAUCCAAAAUCUGAUCUCGUUCUGCCCCGUACUGACUGAUUUGAGAUUAGUUCGUUUUGAGGGCAUCAGGUGUCUAAACAUUCAAGCUCCUAAACUGGAAUAUCUUGAAGUUGUUGGGGGCUUUGAAGACAUUAAUUUGGAUGCCCCUAAUCUAGAAUGGGCCGUUCUCACUCUUAAUCCCAAAGCUAAAGCAUAUCAAUCUGUUCCAAUUGCUCAUGACACGAAAAACUAUGUCAAGAAGUCAUUGGGAAGCGUAAGUGACAUAAAACAACUUGCAUUUUUUGGCUUUUUCCUGAAGCAUCUAUCAAAAGGGUGCAUACCUAUGAAGCUCCCUGCCGUGUUUACUCGCUUGGAGCAUAUUUAUCUUACGAUUUGGGACCAGAGGCAAGUCUUGGCCGCUUGUUCAUUGUUUCAGAAUGCCCCUAACCUAAAGAGGCUUAACAUGCGGAGUCGCUUUCCGGGCCCAUGGUAUCAGGAUCAGGUGAGCAUUCAAGAGCUUACCGUGCAAUUGCAAAUGGACCAUCUCGUAACGGCCAGUAUGGAAGGUUUUGCGGGUCUUGACUAUGAAGUUGAUUUCGUGGCAAAGCUACUGAGCUGGGCACCAGCUUUGGAAGAAUUGGAGAUAGAAUGGGAGGGCGAAACAGACUGCAGCAGGGUUCUUGCGAAGCUAUUAGCUCUGCCGAGGGUAUCUCCCAGGGCCAAGGUCAUUGUUACAUUUUGA
This 1368-nucleotide ribosomal RNA is filed under the name Triticum aestivum (bread wheat). Its description in RNAcentral is "partial small subunit ribosomal RNA". Lineage: Eukaryota; Viridiplantae; Streptophyta; Magnoliopsida; Poales; Poaceae. The record is from RNAcentral.